AGUGAACGCUGGCGGUAGGCCUAACACAUGCAAGUCGAACGGCAGCACAGGAGAGCUUGCUCUCUGGGUGGCGAGUGGCGGACGGGUGAGGAAUACAUCGGAAUCUACUCUGUCGUGGGGGAUAACGUAGGGAAACUUACGCUAAUACCGCAUACGACCUACGGGUGAAAGCAGGGGAUCUUCGGACCUUGCGCGAUUGAAUGAGCCGAUGUCGGAUUAGCUAGUUGGCGGGGUAAAGGCCCACCAAGGCGACGAUCCGUGGCUGGUCUGAGAGGAUGGUCAGGCACACUGGAACUGAGACACGGUCCAGGCUCCUACGGGAGGCAGCAGUGGGGAAUAUUGGACAAUGGGAGCAAGCCUGAUCCAGCCAUACCGCGUGGGUGAAGAAGGCCUUCGGGUUGUAAAGCCCUUUUGUUGGGAAAGAAAUCCAGCUGGCUAAUACCCGGUUGGGAUGACGGUACCCAAAGAAUAAGCACCGGCUAACUUCGUGCCAGCCGCCGCGGUAA
This 506-nucleotide ribosomal RNA is filed under the name uncultured bacterium. RNAcentral describes it as "partial 16S ribosomal RNA". It matches the Rfam family "Bacterial small subunit ribosomal RNA", at positions 29 to 523 of the family's 1533-position model. The record is from RNAcentral.